Molecule: long non-coding RNA, 372 nt
Organism: Pseudophryne corroboree (corroboree frog)
Lineage: Eukaryota; Metazoa; Chordata; Amphibia; Anura; Myobatrachidae
Exons: 3
Source: RefSeq, a predicted model, not a curated record
CAGUACGAAAGCAAGCCACCACUUCAAGAACACAAGCAACACUGUCAAGAGCUGUGGAUGCUGGCGAUACAGGAACUUCAACAUCGCAUCACAGUCCACAAAGACGUCCUUCACAGGGGUCUGGCAGCCACACGAGCAGGCCUAGCAAGAGACGUCAUCCUGAUGUCGCACCAACACCAGCAUUAAGCACACCCCCACGUCGUAUUUCAACUGUGUUGCCUCUGCCACCAGAACACAUUUUGGAGAGUACUCAAUCACCGGGACCACAUUCCCCUCAGCUGUCUGAACCAGACAUCAUGCCCCCGGAAGCCCAGCAGGAAUCUGAACAGGAAACAUACACCCUCCAUCUGCAAGCAAUAGAUGUUAACCAAC